Molecule: long non-coding RNA, 928 nt
Organism: Homo sapiens (human)
Lineage: Eukaryota; Metazoa; Chordata; Mammalia; Primates; Hominidae
Source: Ensembl
UUUUUCUUUCUUUUUUUUUUUUAAGACAGGCUGGAGUACAGUGGUUCAAUCAUGGCUUACUGCAGCCCCUACCUUCCCAGGCUCAGGGGGGCCCUCUCACCUCAGCCUCCUCAGUAGCUGGCACUACAAGCUCAGGCUACUAUCCUGGUUAAUUUUUGUAUUUUUUGUAAAGAAGGGAUUUCACCAUGUUAUCCAGGCUGGUCUCGAACUUCUGGGCUCAAGCAAUCCGUCUGCCUCGGCCUCCUGAAGUGCUGAGGCAGGCAGAUCAUGAGGUCAGGAGUUUGAGGCCAGCCUGGUCAACAUAGCAAAACCCCAUUUUUACUAAAAAUACAAAAAUUAGCCAGCUGUGGUGGCACACACCUGCAGUCCCAGCUGUCAGGAGGCUGAGGCACAAGAAUCGCUUGAACCCAGGAGGCAGAGGUUGUAGCGAGCUGAGAUCAUGCCACUGCACUCUCCAGCCUAGGCGAAAGAGCAAGAUUCUGUCUCAAAGAAUAAACAAACAACCAACCAAUUGCACAAACAGAUAUAUUUUUAGGCAGCUAUUUGUGUGGGAAAAGGUCUUCAGUUUGUGAUUGACAAUAGGUUUGGUGUGAGCUAAUAGUCUGAAGUAGCUGCUAACUCAAUCUUAGGUUUUCCUUCAUGAAGCACAGGGACAGUUUAUAAAGUAACAGGUUCCUUUAAUGGUCACCUAUAUCUGAAGUAUUAUUCUGUUAGAAACGACAGGUUGGGCCAAAGAGGAUGGCAAGAUGCCUGUAAAUCAUAUCUUACAGGCUGGGCGCGGUGGCUCAUGCCUGUAAUCCCAGCACUUUGGGAGGCCGAGGCGGGUGGAUCACGAGAUCAGGAGAUCGAGACCAUCCUGGCUAACACGGUGAAACCCCAUCUCUACUAAAAAAUACAAAAAAAUUAGCCGGGCGUGGUGGUGGGCGCC